This 609-nucleotide ribosomal RNA is filed under the name uncultured beta proteobacterium. RNAcentral describes it as "bacterial SSU rRNA". It matches the Rfam family "Bacterial small subunit ribosomal RNA", at positions 56 to 670 of the family's 1533-position model. Lineage: Bacteria; Pseudomonadati; Pseudomonadota; Betaproteobacteria. The record is from RNAcentral.
UGCAGUCGACGGCAGCACGGGGGCAACCCUGGUGGCGAGUGGCGAACGGGUGAGUAAUACAUCGGAACGUGUCCUGUAGUGGGGGAUAGCCCGGCGAAAGCCGGAUUAAUACCGCAUACGCUCUACGGAGGAAAGCGGGGGAUCUUCGGACCUCGCGCUCAUGGGGCGGCCGAUGGCGGAUUAGCUAGUUGGUGGGUUAAAAGGCUACCAAGGCGACGAUCCGUAGCUGGUCUGAGAGGACGACCAGCCACACUGGGACUGAGACACGGCCCAGACUCCUACGGGAGGCAGCAGUGGGGAAUUUUGGACAAUGGGGGCAACCCCGAUCCAGCCAUUCCGCGUGAGUGAAGAAGGCCUUCGGGUUGUAAAGCUCUUUCGGCAGGGAAGAAACGGUUACUCCUAAUAUCAUUGGCUAAUGACGGUACCUGAAGAAUAAGCACCGGCUAACUACGUGCCAGCAGCCGCGGUAAUACGUAGGGUGCGAGCGUUAAUCGGAAUUACUGGGCGUAAAGCGUGCGCAGCGGUGAAGACAGGUGUGAAAUCCCCGGGCUACCUGGGAACUGCCUUGUGACUGCAAGGACUGAGUAUGUCAGAGGGGGGUAGAAUUCC